This 406-nucleotide ribosomal RNA is filed under the name uncultured bacterium. RNAcentral's name for it is "partial 16S ribosomal RNA". It matches the Rfam family "Bacterial small subunit ribosomal RNA", at positions 28 to 526 of the family's 1533-position model. The record is from RNAcentral.
GACGAACGCUGGCGGCGUGCUUUACACAUGCAAGUCGGACGAGUGGCGAACGGGUGAGUAACGCAUCGGAACGUACCGAAUAAUGGGGGAUAACUGUCCGAAAGGACAGCUAAUACCGCAUAUUAUUCGAGCGGCCGAUGUCUGAUUAGCUGGUGGGCGGGGUAAAGGCCCACCAAGGCGACGAUCAGUAGCGGGUCUGAGAGGGUGAUCGCCAACACUGGGAUGGGGCCAGGGCCCAGACUCCUACGGGAGGCAGCAGUGGGGAAUUUUGGACAAUGGGCGCAAGCCGGAUCCAGCCAUGCCGCGUGUCUGAAGAAGGCCUUCGGGUUGUAAAGUACUUUUGUCAGGGAAGCGGUACCUGAAGAAUAAGCACCGGCUAACUACGUGCCAGCAGCCGCGGUAAUAC